GAUCAGCACAGCCCCUCCUUGGAUCCACACGGUUCUCUCCCUCUUCUUGUGUCCUUCUCUAGCUUCUUCUUCUCUUCUCAUUUUCUCUACCCCAUGGCUGACCCAUUGCAAGCUUCCUCUACUCUAAACCACCCAUUAUCACCACUUAAACAACCUAAACCACAACAGCACCGCUCCAUUUUAAUGGAGGCAACAAGUGUUCUCUUGGAGUUGCUGAAACAGUGGUGUAAAGGUUCCAAGGAACUUGGUGAUGGAACUGGUAACUUGAUUGGUUGAAUGCGUUGCUCGGUUGAGGUAAAUUUGGAAUGGAUUGCUGAGUGAUCACCUGAAUUGGUUUCAGUAGUCUUUGUGACAACGGAAUCAAAUCCAGGUCAGUGCCCUUUCACUUUGGAUGACGCGUUCUUCCUUGCUGUCCAUGGGGGGAAGAGGUUCCUUGAUUGUGUGUGGGUGAGGCUGCUACCCAUGGGGCUAAGAGACCACAUGCAAGAGAUGUCCUAUUUGACGUGCUCUCUCUGCUACCCAAGAGGGGAGAGAAAAACCUUGAGGGUAUGGGUGAGGCUGCUGUCCAUGGGGCCAAGAGUCUGCAUACCAGAGAGGACAAUAUCAUGCUAGUUGUGAAUGGGUGGAUCUCCUGACCGGUCUAUGUGGUAGUGUGGUAUAUUUGUGAUAAGUUACCUUAUGUUAGAUAUUAUGGCUUUGGAAAUUAUAUUGUUGGUGCUCAUAGAUUAUAGUAUAUAGUUUCAAAGAAUUUACUUUGAGAAACUUUGUAUUUCAUUAUUAAAUCAUUCUUGUCAUAUUAUUAUUAUUGAA
Molecule: long non-coding RNA, 810 nt
Organism: Quercus robur (English oak)
Lineage: Eukaryota; Viridiplantae; Streptophyta; Magnoliopsida; Fagales; Fagaceae
Exons: 3
Source: RefSeq, a predicted model, not a curated record